CGGGGUGAGUAAUGUCUGGGAAACUGCCUGAUGGAGGGGGAUAACUACUGGAAACGGUAGCUAAUACCGCAUAAUGUCUGCGGACCAAAGCGGGGGACCUCCGGGCCUCGCGCCAUCAGAUGAACCCAUAUGGGAUUAGCUAGUAGGUAAGGUAACGGCUUACCUAGGCGACGAUCCCUAGCUGGUCUGAGAGGAUGAUCAGCCACACUGGGACUGAGACACGGCCCAG
This 229-nucleotide ribosomal RNA is filed under the name uncultured bacterium. Its description in RNAcentral is "partial 16S ribosomal RNA". It matches the Rfam family "Bacterial small subunit ribosomal RNA", at positions 104 to 334 of the family's 1533-position model. The record is from RNAcentral.